Molecule: ribosomal RNA, 380 nt
Filed under: uncultured eukaryote
Lineage: Eukaryota
Description: partial 18S ribosomal RNA
Rfam family: Eukaryotic small subunit ribosomal RNA
Source: RNAcentral
CAAUAGCGUAUAUUAAAGUUGUUGCAGUUAAAAAGCUCGUAGUUGGAUUUGUGGCGUACGGUGUGUUCCGGGCACUUGUUGUCUGAGUAACCUGCUGUUGCCAUCCUUGGGUGGAACCUGUGUGGCAUUAGGUUGUCGUGCAGGGGAUGCCCAUCAUUUACUGUGAAAAAAUUAGAGUGUUCAAAGCAGGCUUAUGCCGUUGAAUAUAUUAGCAUGGAAUAAUGAGAUAGGACUUUUUUGCUAUUUUGUUGGUUUGCGCAAGAAGGUAAUGAUUAAUAGGGACAGUUGGGGGUAUUCGUAUUCCAUUGUCAGAGGUGAAAUUCUUGGACUUUUGGAAGACGAACUACUGCGAAAGCAUUUACCAAGGAUGUUUUCAUUAA